Paramormyrops kingsleyae is the source of this 1602-nucleotide long non-coding RNA. RefSeq lists it as uncharacterized. Lineage: Eukaryota; Metazoa; Chordata; Actinopteri; Osteoglossiformes; Mormyridae. The record is from RefSeq and is a predicted model, not a curated record.
CCUGUGCUACCCCUCUGGUUACCCUGUGCUACCCCCUGCUCCCCCAGCCUGGUUUUGACCCCUCACGUCGUGACACACAGGACUGAUUUCUACCUUCACAGGAAGACUGGACACCAUCUGCUUUGCUGUUCUGGAAUCAAAGUGCUAAGACAGUAGCACAGCUGGCAGACAGCAAACCUACCAUCAACGAUAUAGUCGGCGUGCCUUUGAAGUUGGGGAAUAGAUCCCCUAACCAAGUAUCCCAGCCAUGAUCAAACAACCAGUCUUCCUUGUGGAUAUUCUAUAUUUCAGUGCUGGUCACCUCCUGGAGGUCCUGAACUGCAUCGGGAACCAUGUCGCAGUGUCCAGGGCAGGUCCCAUUCGUCUUCUUGAUCAGUGGAGUUCCGGGAACAGAAGGGAAGCCUCCCCGGAUGGAGGCUGCCCCAAAAUUUUGGGAAUGAGCCCAUUCCCUCCCGUCGUCCCAGCAGCUGGUAGGACAUCACGUCUGGCCCGGCUUCGUUACAAAGCAACAGAUGCACCCAGGAGUCGUUCCCUUCUAGGUUCAUGGCCUGCCGCGUGGCUAGCAGAACUUGAACUAUAUUAAACUACUAAAACUUACUGAUUUUAAACUUUUUUUUUUUCUCUCGUAGCUGUUGCCUUCUGCACCGACACUGCGUUUGGUGGCCACAGGUUGUCCGUUCAUAAAGGUGUCAACUGUGUGUCAAGCAAUGUUCCUUAUCGACAGUUUAUCUUAUCGUUUAACUUGUAUAUGCCGAUAAGUCGAUAUAUCGCUUAUAGCCCUAAUAUGGACAAACUCGAUGCGUUUAAUAUUGCAUAAACAUUCGCUAUUGCGGUGUUGGAUUAAGGAAAAGGGGCUCUAGCUGCAGCGCCUUACUGAAAACGCACGGUUAUUUGAUGGGAUUCACAGCGCGGAUUAGCAUCUUCAUCUGCUUCAUUUCUUGGAAGCUGGAAAAGCCCUAAGGCUCCUUUCACACAGUCUGGGAGUAUAAACGACCAAUUGUGAUCUAAAAGCCGUUGUUGACAGCUGUAAGAAGCAAUGGAGGGUGUUACUUUUCUAUUAUGUGAUUGGCGGUUUGAUGUGCGUGUUAGCUGGUCUGUUUGCCGCGUAUUAACUAUUUUGAGAUAGGCAAUGUGUUAAAAUCGGAAAUAUUACUAUAUGUCAGUUAUUUUUCGGGACACCGGGAUACAUAACCUGAAAUCGGGACUUUCCCGGGAUAUCUAGUCACCCUACUAAUUAUAUCAAGUUAGCAUGUCCUUUUACUUGACGUGUCUUUUAUAUAGGUCCUGUGGUUUUUGCAAUUAUUGUUUCACCAUGUUGGUAUUCAGAAAAGCAAGGCUGUAGUAAAACUGAAGACUGAAGAAAAGAAAUCAGUCUCCUUAAAACACAUGACGGAUGCGGGGAUGCCUGGAAUAAAACCGAUACAGGAAAAUGUCUCUGCAUGAUUCUGUCACAAGGGGGCAGCAUCGUAUCAUUCAAAUCCUGAUCACAAUUCGUUACGCUGUUUGUUGGAUGUGCGGUCAGAAGGUAAUUUUUAGAUGACAUGAAUCGUGCCAGCUAGUGUGCUCCACUUACUAAGUAUGGUUAUACUCGUACACACAUGA